UACGUAGGGUGCGAGCGUUAAUCGGAAUUACUGGGCGUAAAGUGUGCGCAGGCGGCAGAGCAAGUCGAGUGUGAAAGCCCCGGGCUUAACUUGGGAAUUGCGCUCGAAACUACUUUGCUGGAGUGUGGCAGAGGAAGGUGGAAUUCCACGUGUAGCGGUGAAUUGCGUAGAGAUGUGGAGGAACACCAAUGGCGAAGGCAGCCUUCUGGGCCAACACUGACGCUCAUGCACGAAAGCGUGGGGAGCAAACAGG
Molecule: ribosomal RNA, 253 nt
Filed under: uncultured bacterium
Lineage: Bacteria
Description: partial 16S ribosomal RNA
Rfam family: Bacterial small subunit ribosomal RNA
Source: RNAcentral